CGCUGUCACAGUUUACCGUAAACAUAACUUGAGUGUUCUAUUUUUGUACCAUUGUAGUGCUCAUUAUUACGAAGUUUUUGUUUUGGUUGUAAUUGUAAUGAAUUUUGAAUAAAAAUAAGCGUUACAUUUAAGAUUUAGGCCUACCUGCCAAUUUUUAUAAGUGAUAAAUUGCAUAGCCAAGUGUCGUGUAACGGUUCACUUCCAAUCCGAACCGUAAAGAUGUUGGAAACUGAAUUUUGAGAUAAUUAUGAUUUUUCACAAGUUAUCGGUAAAACAGCUAGGAAACGCUAAGAUUUUAAACUUAACCAUGAAGUUGACAUCCAUCAGCCCAAGACUCUGACGAUGGAAAAACACUAUAAUUUGGAUUUGGGCACUUUGCCCGUUGUGAGUGCCUCAGAGUUUAUCAAAGAUCGACUCUAUUUUGUAACCUUCUUACGAAUCACCAGUGGCAAGCCAAAAUCAACCGUUAAUACUCAUUACUUUUGCAUAGAUGAUGAAUUGGUCUAUGAAAAUUUUUAUUCAGAUUUCGGCCCUCUCAAUCUGGCAAUGUUGUAUAGAUACUGUACGACUGUCAACCAGAAACUCCAGAUGUAUACUACAGGAAUCAGAAAGAAAAAGAUUAUCCAUUACACAACGAUGGAUGCACAAAAACGGGUCAAUGCAGCCUACCUGAUAGGCUCUUAUGCGAUCAUCUACCUGAAGAAACCUGUUGAUGAAGUACACAAGAUUUUAUUGGGUGCCAGGAAUCCACCUUUCCUCAAUUUCAGAGAUGCUUCGUAUGGGACUACCCUGUACCAUAUUAACCUGAAAGACUGCCUUCAAGCAAUUCAUAAAGCUCAUGAGCUAAACUUCUUUGACUUUUCUGACUUUGAUGUUGAAGAAUAUGAACACUAUGAGAAAGUGGAAAAUGGUGACCUGAAUUGGAUUGUACCCCAGAAGUUUAUUGCGUUUUGUGGACCUCAUGGAAAAAGCAGAAUAGAGAAUGGCUAUCCACUGCAUUCACCAGAAUCGUAUUUUGCAUACUUUCGCAAAAACAAUGUGACAACUGUUGUCCGGCUGAACAAAAAGAUUUAUGAGGCAAGCAGGUUCACAACCGGUGGCUUUGAUCAUAAAGAACUCUUUUUCUUGGAUGGGAGCACACCCACAGAUAAUAUUGUACGUCAAUUCCUGAGUAUUUCUGAGAACGCCACUGGAGUAAUAGCUGUUCAUUGCAAAGCUGGACUGGGGCGAACUGGCUCCUUGAUAGGUUGCUACAUCAUGAAGCAUUACAAAUUCACAGUCCUCGAAGCGAUUGCUUGGAUACGGAUAUGCAGGCCUGGCUCUAUCAUUGGUCACCAGCAGGAGUGGCUCAAGAUGAAAGAACCUCAGAUGUGGAUGGAAGGUGAUCAGAUGCGAAGAUUGCAAGGCCGCAGCUGUCUACCCAAGCACACGUAUGGCAUCUACAGCAUAAAGUGGAAAGAGAUGAUAAACAGAAGUCCUUUCUCCGCACAGAAGAUAAGGAAAGCAUCCGAUACGCUGUCCAGGAUCCUGCACAAAGUGGACACCAUGAAGCUUGAGGAUCAGAACGAGGAGAAGAAAAUGGGACAUACUCUUGAAAACAAUCCAACCUACUGUUGGAAAGAAGUAAAGUGCAAAACAACAAACCUGACCCAAGGAGAUCGUCUGAACCACAUAAAGGCUCUGAGAAGACAUCACCCCAGAACAAUAGGAUCCAGCAACCUGUACAGCAGCAGUACCAGGAUGAACACCAGAUCAAAACAAAAUGUCAACGUUGCACCGGAGACUUGCCCAGUCAAGCUAGCGAAGGUGACUGGAUUGACAUCACCAGAAUCAACAGGCUCUGCUCUGAGCGUCAAACGCAUCUCUCGAUCCACUGUUGUCGUCAACAAAAGACGCAAAUCAAAGUCUUGGUCAUGCUAUAAGUGGAACUGCCUUAUUGUUUGAUUUGCAUUUUCCUUCUAGUUUGUUUCAUCUUUGUUCACUGUGUUUUUUUAUUGUUUCGGCUCGAGAGUGGGGACGACGCGACCAUCGAAGGUGGUUGGAUAGAAGCACAUUCACAACUACAUAAGCCUAGCACCCAUCUGUUGAUCCACAAAUACUGUAACUGGUUAAACCAGGUUAUUGAUGGUUAUUGAUUGUUAUAAGUUACAUGGUUUCCACGACAGAAAGCAUUGAAGGUGGGUUUUAAGUUUUAACCCUGUGAUGAAUUUUCAAACAGGAUUAUCGAGAUAUUUUAUGUUUUUAAGAUUUACUUCUUAACAGUAUUAAUUUACAUUAAUAAUAUUAUUAUUAUCUAACAGUUUUACAAUUUUGAAUGGAUCAUUAAAAAUAUAAAUGGGAUAAGUGUCUGUUAGAAUAUUGUUACCUGAUUGAUUACUGACAUAAGAUUCAGUAUUGUGGUUGUACAUAUCCAGCUGUUCUGUCUUUCUUGCUAAGUAUUUUAACCUGUCAGAUGGAUAUAACUAAGAUGUUUUAUUUUUUAUAAUAAUUAUAAUAUAUACAGUAAUAUAAAAUAGAUUUACUGGCAAUUUUUCAAGUCUAAUUCCUUAUUUUUGUUACUGAAUUUUAACUGUAAGUGUAAACCACGUAGUUUCCAGUUUUUAAGUACACUCUCUACAAGUUUAUAGACUAAAAUGAUUAAAUGCUCUUAAAAGUUGUUCUUCUCUAAGAUAAUUAUUACACACGGUGUUUGUAAAACAAACUUAUAACUUCAAACGAGAUUCUUUUUUUCCCUACAAAUAUUUUAACCUCGAAUGGGACAUUUUAUUUAUAAAGUAUUUUGAAAUACUAAAAUACAAAUUAUCAUGAUGACUUUAAUGCAUUUUAUGUUUAAAAUAUGCAACAGAAAGGUAAUAACAUUUUUUAAAGUUAAUACAAUUACAAUUUCUAUAUUUAUUGUUCACCUGUGUUUUAUACAAAUAUUCCUGGUUGAAAUGUGUUUUACUUAUUAAUGUGCCUCAAAACUGUUUUUAAAUUCUCCUUAUGAAAAUUAAAGAUUUAUUUGUUACUAAUGUUGGUAAUGUAAAAAAAUUUAAAACAACCUCAAAUUUGUAUAAACCCUAGUGCUAUUGACAAAUUCUUUGUUUUAUAGAAAUACAAAUUCCAUGAUAUUGGAAAUCAGGAGAAUUCUAUUUGUAAAAUAUUUCAAUCUGCGAGGUUCAAUCUGGUAGUUCUUUUGAAGAAAAAGUUAUUUCUCCAAUGAUUUGUAAUCAACAGGUUCUUUUUUAACUACGAGGUAAAUUAUUUUUUGUUUCUUAAGUUGGAGAUGUUUAAAAAAUUUAACUUGAUACGUAUUUCUAGCACAAAACAUCAUCACAAAGAUUGAAAAUUAUUGAAGUAUUUUCAACCAAACCUUGAAGUAAAUUAACUCUCAUUGGCUAUUAAUGUUUAUAUAAUACAAAAAAGGAUUCUAGUUUGAAGUUUUUUUGUUUAUAAACACCCUGUAUGUAUACACGACCCAGGUCUUUGUUGAAUGUUUUUGAUUAUUUCAAUAGUAAGUUAUGUUACCUUAUGUAUCGCCAAGUGGGAUCGUGUUCUUGUAGUUAGACUAUUAUGGGUUUGAAGACUUAAUAGUUUCAUUGUCAAGUCUACGUGAACAUUAAUCAGCCGCCACACUUCUCUCUACCUGGUAGUGAAUGCAUCAUAUGUCCACAUAAGCGUCAAUGACUUAAUGUCCACGUAGACUUGACAAUGAAGCUAUUAAGUCUUCAAACCCAUAAUAGUUUUACUACAAGAACAGGAUCACUUGGUGAUACAUAAGGUAACAUAGUCUAUUGUAAUAAUCAUAGUGACCUAGAGGCUACGCCUCAAUGUUUUAAUUAACUUCUUAUUUGGUCAACAACAUGUCUGUUGCUGUUCGUUCACAUUAGUUAUUAGUCUGUAAUAAGAAACAUAUUUUUAUUUGCUAUUAUUCAGACAAAUAUGUAACUAUUGCAUGACUUAUUUGACUUAUCUAUUUUAGUGUUCACUCUAAUUUAGACUACUAAAGUGUUUUAAUAUAUUAAAUUUGUAUGUUUGUUUUUUAUCAAAUCUCCCUUUUACUGGGGAAAUAAUCUGCUACAAAAAACUUAACUAUAUGGUGUAUAUUUAAAAUGUAGCCCAUUAUUCUAACCUUACCACAUGCACUUUUUAAAAGAAAAACUUUAUAAUAUUCUAAGGUUAUACAACUAAAAGUAUCUAAAUAUCAAAAAGUGUAUUCUUAUCAUUUUAAAAUAGGCUAAACUAAAAGCUAUAUUUCUAUUUGUUGUUGAAAAAGAGACCACUCAAGCUAUUAGUUAUUAUUUUUUAACGUUUAUUUAAAGUAAAAUGCUAACACACUCCAAACAUUGGCAAUAGUAAAGUUAUGACUCUUAGAAUGAAAUUGUACAUCUCUAUAUUACUUAGCCUGUGCAGACAAGCAAGCAAUAACUAUAACUAUUCUAUGUCCUUGAUUGAUAAAAAAAUUAUCAAAUCAUAAAGUUUCAGUUCAGAUCAUCAAGAUAUUAGUGUGCCCAAACUGUAACUGUAUAAAUUAAUUGUUAUUAAAUAUUAUUGUAAUAUUUUACCCAGGUUUUGUGUAUUGUAGGCAUAUUUCUUAUACGUUUUGAGACUCUUUGUAUGUUCAUGUUCUUUAGCAAUUGUAGUUUUUGGUAAUUCAAAAAGAUUUGAAAAACUCUGAAAUUUUGUGAAAGGUUUUCUUAAUUAUUAUGUUUUAAUUUAUUUUUUUGUGUACGGUAAUAGUAAUCUGUGGUCUUGUUAUGAGGUCUACCCAGCCAAAAAUAUGUUACAAAACCAUUUUUUACAAAUACCCAUCACUUUUUGUGUGGAAUUACUUAAAUGAAAGUUAAAGUUUGAAAGAAGAAUUUAACAUUUUUACUUUUCCAUAAACUGCAACAAUGCCUAGUUAAUUAACCGGAAACUAAAACUGUUCUCUAUUUAUAUCCUUUUUAGUGCUGUUAACAUUCUUGGCAGAGUUUGAAUCCACAAUUGCUAAGUACAUGUUCAAAAAUCUUGGCUAAGCAAAGAAAAUCUUAUGCAUUUUCCAUUUUUAAUUUUAAUGUAAUACUCUUUUAGUUGUGGGAUACAUUGACUUUGUAAGAAUUUGCAAGAUGACUCCUUUUGAAGAGUUGGAUGGAAGUGUCUGGUUAACGUCAUGAUAGGAGCCAUACUUACAUUUCACAACUAGUAUUUUGCAACAGUCUUUGUUGGAAUGGGGGGGAUCAUAGUGUUACUGCAGUAUUCUGUUUCCUUCGUUAUUCCUUUUCAAGACAGUACCUUUGGUAAAGCUUUGUUGAACGACACCAGUCCUGAGUCCUGUAAAACAACAAAGUGUAAAAUAGUUGAGAUCUCAAUUACCCCGGGAAAAGCCUCUUUAAAUGUCUUUUGUCUUACUAUGUUAAAUUUUGUUUCAUGUUUUUUCAGCAAAGGUUCUUUUUAAUUGGAAAAGUAUUUAUUAUAAAAUACAUAUUUACCUAUGUAUGUUGUUAAACUAGGUUGUAUCAGGGAAUUUAAGUGUAUAGAGUUGAUUUUGAGGUUUACUACAAACCUUUUUUUUAAUUUGUUGUCAGAUAGAGCUUAUGUAUGUAAUCUUGCACAUUUAAUCAUUUUAUGGUAUGGUGAUUUUAGAUAUUCUUUAAAGUUGUUAUACACGAUUGUAAAUCUAUUAUAUUAUUAUAUAAUUAUGUACAAACUAGAAUAAUAUCGGAAAUUUAAUUAAAAUUUAUAAUUAUUUUCAGACUGUUUAAGUAUUUGUUAAUCAUUGUUUGUUAUUCUUUAUAUAAGAUAUUUUGGCAAAUAAUUGUGUACAUUCUGUACAAAUUACUUCCUAAGAGUUUAUUGUUGAGAAGUAAUUGUAUGUUUUAAAUACUUUGAUCGCUGUAUGUAUUAAUAAUCAAUGUCUUCGAGCUGCAACUUUGCUUGGUUGAUGUAUUUUUUAUGUUUCAAUAUUAGCUAUUUGCUAAUAUAUUCAUUAUUAAUCUUACUUUUGACUAGUUUUUUUAAUACUUGAGAUAGUGGCUGCAUUAAAUGUAAUACAAUUAAAAUUAAUUUAAUAAAACAGUCAUUUUGAAUCAUCACUGAAUACUAUGUAUUGUAACAUUUUGUUAAAUAUAAAACUACU
RNA transcript from Macrosteles quadrilineatus (aster leafhopper), 6097 nucleotides. It is a transcript of the gene named dual specificity protein phosphatase CDC14A-like, with no coding region annotated. NCBI's taxonomy places the organism in Eukaryota, Metazoa, Arthropoda, Insecta, Hemiptera, Cicadellidae. The record is from RefSeq and is a predicted model, not a curated record. The transcript has 13 exons.